UACGUAGGGGGCGAGCGUUGUCCGGAUUUAUUGGGCGUAAAGCGCGCGCAGGCGGUUCGGCAAGUCGGAUGUGAAAAUCCGGGGCUCAACCCCGGACGUGCAUCCGAUACUCCCGGACUGGAGGCAGGUAGGGGAGAGCGGAAUUCCCGGUGUAGCGGUGAAAUGCGCAGAUAUCAGGAAGAACACCCGUGGCGAAGGCGGCUUUCUGGGACGGUACUGACGCUGAGACGCGAAAGCGUGGGGAGCGAACAGG
RNAcentral lists this ribosomal RNA (253 nucleotides) under uncultured bacterium. RNAcentral describes it as "partial 16S ribosomal RNA". It matches the Rfam family "Bacterial small subunit ribosomal RNA", at positions 524 to 776 of the family's 1533-position model. The record is from RNAcentral.